CCUACGGGCGGCUGCAGUGGGGAAUUUUGGACAAUGGGGGCAACCCUGAUCCAGCCAUGCCGCGUGAGUGAAGAAGGCCUUCGGGUUGUAAAGCUCUUUCGGCCGGGAAGAAAUCGCUCAAGCUAAUAGCUUGGGUGGAUGACGGUACCGGAAGAAGAAGCACCGGCUAACUACGUGCCAGCAGCCGCGGUAAUACGUAGGGUGCGAGGGUUAUUCGGAAUUACUGGGCGUAAAUCUAGCGGAGGUGGGAAUGCCCCGGGCUUAACCUGGGAACUGCGUUUGUGACUGUGGUGCUCGAGUGCGGCAGAGGGGGGUGGAAUUCCACGUGUAGCAGUGAAAUGCGUAGAGAUGUGGAGGAACACCGAUGGCGAAGGCAGCCCCCUGGGUCGACACUGACGCUCAUGCACGAAAGCGUGGGGAGCAAACAGGAUUAGAUACCCUAGUAGUC
RNAcentral lists this ribosomal RNA (448 nucleotides) under uncultured bacterium. Its description in RNAcentral is "partial 16S ribosomal RNA". It matches the Rfam family "Bacterial small subunit ribosomal RNA", at positions 338 to 795 of the family's 1533-position model. The record is from RNAcentral.